RNAcentral lists this unclassified non-coding RNA (257 nucleotides) under Hevea brasiliensis (rubber tree). Lineage: Eukaryota; Viridiplantae; Streptophyta; Magnoliopsida; Malpighiales; Euphorbiaceae. The record is from RNAcentral.
GUCACUAGCUUAAAGUCAAUGGCUGACCAUGCUCCAACUUUGUAUCCAGAAUCUUCUGUUUAUGAUGAUUGCAUUUCUGUUGAUUCACAGAAGAAACAGCUCACUGUUACUGUACCUGAAGAAACUGGUAUGAUAUCUGAAAAUGAAAGGAACUGGAUUGAUGUUGUCAGGGAAAGUGAGGAUGAUGAGAUCUUGUCACUAGAUGGUGAUCAAGUUCUUGAUAGUUCAUGUUCCCUGUCUGUGGUGAGUGAUUCCAG